This 422-nucleotide ribosomal RNA is filed under the name uncultured Methanolinea sp. RNAcentral's name for it is "bacterial SSU rRNA". It matches the Rfam family "Archaeal small subunit ribosomal RNA", at positions 918 to 1338 of the family's 1478-position model. Lineage: Archaea; Methanobacteriati; Methanobacteriota; Methanomicrobia; Methanomicrobiales; Methanoregulaceae. The record is from RNAcentral.
CCGGGAAGCUCACCGGAUAAGACAGCGGAAUGAUAGCCGGGCUGAAGACUCUGCUUGACUAGCUGAGAGGAGGUGCAUGGCCGUCGUCAGUUCGUACUGUGAAGCAUCCUGUUAAGUCAGGCAACGAGCGAGACCCACGCCAACAGUUGCCAGCAUGUCCUCCGGGAUGAUGGGGACACUGUUGGGACCGCUCUGCUAAAGAGGAGGAAGGGAAUGGGCAACGGUAGGUCAGCAUGCCCCGAAUUAUCCGGGCUACACGCGGGCUACAAUGGUCAGGACAAUGGGUAUCGACACCGAGAGGUGGAGGCAAUACUCCUAAACCUGUCCUUAGUUCGGAUUGUGGGCUGCAACUCGCCCACAUGAAGCUGGAAUCCGUAGUAAUCGCGUUUCAAAAUAGCGCGGUGAAUAUGUCCCUGCUCCUU